AAUGGUAGUUCUUUUAGAUGAAAUAAAAUAAUGAUAAAGUACAAUUUUUUUAUGAUACGUGCCACAUUGGAUUUGACUUUAUCAAAUCAAAGUUUUGGUUUAUCUACUACUCUAGCCUACACCUAUAAAUACUAGGCAAGGAUUUCAUAUUUUACCACACCAAAAAAUAUUCACACGUGAAAGAGAGAGAAGAAAGAAAGAGAGAGAGAGAGAGAGAGAGAGAGAGAGAGAGAGAGAGAGAAAGAGGAAAGAGUGUGUGAAAACAGAAAUUUGUCAUACAUCAACUAUCACCGUCGAUCAAUAAAUCAUUCACAGAGUAGAGGAAGGAAUUUUGGAACGUACAUUCAAAUAUUUUUCGUGUACAUUUCGAUAACAAGGUAAGAUACAUUUAUGUGCAAAGUGUUUACGUUUCCUUAUGCUCUUAUAUGCGAUUAAAUAUACAUGGAAUGCUAGUGGACCUUCGGGUUCUAGAGAAAGAGAUAUGAAAUUUCUACAUGAAAAUUAAGAGGACCUAAGAUGGGUGUGUCGCUUGGUCACCGAUAUACUCCAUAAGAGAAGAGCGGUAUGAAGUGUAUUAUUUAUUUGUUAUAUACCUGUGUAUGGGAAUUUGCACGUAUCUUACUGGGUAUUUUUAAUACUCACUCUUACAUUAAUUUUUCAGAUUAGUUCGGGUCGAUUGGAACAGUGGAGAAUUGGUGAUGCG
This 703-nucleotide long non-coding RNA is filed under the name Olea europaea (common olive). RNAcentral describes it as "long non-coding RNA (OEUR_LNC011464)". Lineage: Eukaryota; Viridiplantae; Streptophyta; Magnoliopsida; Lamiales; Oleaceae. The record is from RNAcentral.